Molecule: ribosomal RNA, 497 nt
Filed under: uncultured bacterium
Lineage: Bacteria
Description: partial 16S ribosomal RNA
Rfam family: Bacterial small subunit ribosomal RNA
Source: RNAcentral
GAUGAACGCUGGCGGCGUGCCUAAUACAUGCAAGUCGAGCGAACGGACGAGAAGCUUGCUUCUCUGAUGUUAGCGGCGGACGGGUGAGUAACACGUGGAUAACCUACCUAUAAGACUGGGAUAACUUCGGGAAACCGGAGCUAAUACCGGAUAAUAUUUUGAACCGCAUGGUUCAAAAGUGAAAGACGGUCUUGCUGUCACUUAUAGAUGGAUCCGCGCUGCAUUAGCUAGUUGGUAAGGUAACGGCUUACCAAGGCAACGAUGCAUAGCCGACCUGAGAGGGUGAUCGGCCACACUGGAACUGAGACACGGUCCAGACUCCUACGGGAGGCAGCAGUAGGGAAUCUUCCGCAAUGGGCGAAAGCCUGACGGAGCAACGCCGCGUGAGUGAUGAAGGUCUUCGGAUCGUAAAACUCUGUUAUUAGGGAAGAACAUAUGUGUAAGUAACUGUGCACAUCUUGACAGUACCUAAUCAGAAAGCCACGGCUAACUACGUG